Molecule: non-coding RNA, 26 nt
Filed under: Mus musculus (house mouse)
Lineage: Eukaryota; Metazoa; Chordata; Mammalia; Rodentia; Muridae
Source: RNAcentral
UGAGAGGAGAGAACCCAGCCUCUUCA